CCUGGCGGCCGUAGCGCUGUGGUCCCACCUGACCCCAUGCCGAACUCAGAAGUGAAACGCCGUAGCGCCGAUGGUAGUGUGGGGUUUCCCCAUGCGAGAGUAGGGAACUGCCAGGC
RNAcentral lists this ribosomal RNA (116 nucleotides) under Escherichia coli. Lineage: Bacteria; Pseudomonadati; Pseudomonadota; Gammaproteobacteria; Enterobacterales; Enterobacteriaceae. The record is from RNAcentral.